RNAcentral lists this ribosomal RNA (253 nucleotides) under uncultured bacterium. RNAcentral's name for it is "partial 16S ribosomal RNA". It matches the Rfam family "Bacterial small subunit ribosomal RNA", at positions 524 to 775 of the family's 1533-position model. The record is from RNAcentral.
UACGUAGGAUGCAAGCGUUGUUCGGAAUUACUGGGCGUAAAGAGUACGUAGGCGGUCUGGCAAGUCUGAUAUUAAAGACUGGAGCUUAACUCCAGGACUGUAUCGGAAACUGCCAAACUAGAGGACAAUAGAGGAAGUCGGAAUUCUCAGUGUAGCGGUGAAAUGCGUAGAUAUCGGGAGGAACACCUGUGGCGAAAGCGGCUCACUUGGACCACAACUGACGCUGAGGCGCGAAAGCUAGGGGAGCAACAGG